Molecule: ribosomal RNA, 383 nt
Filed under: uncultured bacterium
Lineage: Bacteria
Description: bacterial SSU rRNA
Rfam family: Bacterial small subunit ribosomal RNA
Source: RNAcentral
AAUCAACGCUGGCGGCGUGCCUCAGACAUGCAAGUCGAACGAUUAAAGCUCUCUUCGGAGAGUGUAUAGAGUGGCGCACGGGUGAGUAACACGUAAGUAAUCUACCUUCGAGUGGGGAAUAACGUCCGGAAACGGACGCUAAUACCGCAUAAUGCAGCGGCAUCGCAAGAUGACAGUUGUUAAAGAUUUAUCGCUUGAAGAGGAGCUUGCGGCAGAUAGCUAGUUGGUAAGGUAAUGGCUUACCAAGGCUACGAUCUGUAACCGGUCUAAGAGGACGGUCGGUCACACUGACACUGAAUAACGGGUCAGACUCCUACGGGAGGCAGCAGUCGGGAAUUUUGGGCAAUGGGCGAAAGCCUGACCCAGCAACGCCGCGUGAAGGA